RNAcentral lists this ribosomal RNA (1188 nucleotides) under Hartmannella sp. 546. RNAcentral's name for it is "SSU rRNA". It matches the Rfam family "Eukaryotic small subunit ribosomal RNA", at positions 588 to 1793 of the family's 1831-position model. The record is from RNAcentral. Lineage: Eukaryota; Tubulinea; Elardia; Euamoebida; Hartmannellidae.
CAGCUCAAUANCGUAUAUUAAANGUUGUUGCAGUUAAAAAGCUCGUAGUUGUGAUUUCGGAAGGGUCCUUAGCAGUCCGCCCCUUCGGGGAGCGGGCUGCUGGCCUCCUAUGUUCCUAACGGUCCUCACCCGCGAGGGUGGGGAAUCAACCGCUAGGAUCGUUUACUUUGAGGAAAUAGAGUGUUCAAAGCAGGCGUAACUCGCCUCCGAAUACGUUAGCAUGGGAUAAUGGAAUACGGACUUCGGUCUUGUUUSGUUGGUUYCGCUUGGCUGAAGUAAUGAUUGAUAGGGACAGUUGGGGSCAUUAGUAUUUAGUUGUCAGAGGUGAAAUUYUAGGAUUUAYUAAAGACUGACCAAUGCGAAAGCAUUUGCCAAGGAUGUUUUCAUUAAUCAAGAACGAAAGUAGGGGGAUCGAAGACGAUCAGAUACCGUCGUAGUCUYUACCGUAAACUAUGCCGACCAGGGAUCCGGAGAGUUUGCAUGGAUGACUCCCCGGGCACCUUGUGAGAAAUCAUAAGUGUUUGGGUUUUGGGGGGAGUAUGGUCGCAAGGCUGAAACUUAAAGGAAUUGACGGAAGGGCACCACCAGGAGUGGAACCUGCGGCUUAAUUUGACUCAACACGGGGAAACUUACGAGGUCAGGACACUGUGAGGAUUGACAGAUUGAAAGCUCUUUCUUGAUUCAGUGGGUGGUGGUGCAUGGCCGUUCUUAGUUGGUGGAGUGAUUUGUCUGGUUAAUUCCGUUAACGAACGAGACCUUAACCUGCUAAAUAGUCACGCGAACCGGUCCGCAAGGGCUCAAAGUUCGCGGCUCGACUUCUUAGAGGGACUAUUCGCACCCGCCAGCGAAUGGAAGUUUGAGGCAAUAACAGGUCUGUGAUGCCCUUAGAUGUUNUCGGCCGCACGCGCGUUACACUGACGGAGUCAACGAGCGUUUUUCCUUGCCCGAUAGGGUUGGGUAACCUCCUGAAACUCCGUCGUGAUGGGGAUAGAUCAUUGCAAUUAUUGAUCUUGAACGAGGAAUUCCUAGUAGGCGCGAGUCAUCAACUCGCGCCGAUUACGUCCCUGCCCUUUGUACACACCGCCCGUCGCUCCUACCGAUUGAACGGUCCGGCGAGAACUCCGGAUGGUCGGCGCGCAGGGGUCAAACCCAUGCGUCCGUGCCAGAAGCUGUUCGAACCUUACCGUU